RNAcentral lists this transfer RNA (72 nucleotides) under Stegodyphus mimosarum. It matches the Rfam family "tRNA". Rfam says of the family: Transfer RNA (tRNA) molecules are approximately 80 nucleotides in length. Their secondary structure includes four short double-helical elements and three loops (D, anti-codon, and T loops). Further hydrogen bonds mediate the characteristic L-shaped molecular structure. tRNAs have two regions of fundamental functional importance: the anti-codon, which is responsible for specific mRNA codon recognition, and the 3' end, to which the tRNAs corresponding amino acid is attached (by aminoacyl-tRNA synthetases). tRNAs cope with the degeneracy of the genetic code in two manners: having more than one tRNA (with a specific anti-codon) for a particular amino acid; and 'wobble' base-pairing, i.e. permitting non-standard base-pairing at the 3rd anti-codon position. The record is from Rfam by way of RNAcentral. Lineage: Eukaryota; Metazoa; Arthropoda; Arachnida; Araneae; Eresidae.
GCAUUCGUGGUGUAACGGUUAGCACACUCGGCGCAUAUUCUAGAGGUCCAGGUUCGAGUCCUGGUAAGUACA